This 400-nucleotide ribosomal RNA is filed under the name uncultured bacterium. RNAcentral describes it as "bacterial SSU rRNA". It matches the Rfam family "Bacterial small subunit ribosomal RNA", at positions 355 to 746 of the family's 1533-position model. The record is from RNAcentral.
UGGGGAAUCUUCCGCAAUGGACGAAAGUCUGACGGAGCAACGCCGCGUGAGUGAAGAAGGUUUUCGGAUCGUAAAACUCUGUUUUCAGGGACGAAUGUGCAGAUUGUGAAUAAUGAUUUGUAAUGACGGUACCUGAGUAGAAAGCCACGGCUAACUACGUGCCAGCAGCCGCGGUAAUACGUAGGUGGCAAGCGUUGUCCGGAAUUAUUGGGCGUAAAGCGCGCGCAGGUGGGAUAUUAAGUCUGGUGUUAAAGUUCGGGGCUCAACCCCGUGCAGCAUUUGGAAACUGAUAUUCUUGAGUGCAGGAGAGGAAAGUGGAAUUCCUAGUGUAGCGGUGAAAUGCGUAGAUAUUAGGAGGAACACCAGUGGCGAAGGCGACUUUCUGGACUGUGUCUGACAC